RNAcentral lists this ribosomal RNA (448 nucleotides) under uncultured bacterium. RNAcentral describes it as "partial 16S ribosomal RNA". It matches the Rfam family "Bacterial small subunit ribosomal RNA", at positions 29 to 523 of the family's 1533-position model. The record is from RNAcentral.
AACGAACGCUGGCGGCAUGCCUAACACAUGCAAGUCGAACGAGAUCUUCGGGUCUAGUGGCGCACGGGUGCGUACGCGUGGGAAUCUGCCCUUUGGUUCGGAAUAACAGUUGGAAACGACUGCUAAUACCGGAUGAUGACGAAAGUCCAAAGAUUUAUCGCCAGAGGAUGAGCCCGCGUAGGAUUAGCUAGUCGGUGUGGUAAAGGCGCACCAAGGCGACGAUCCUUAGCUGGUCUGAGAGGAUGAUCAGCCACACUGGGACUGAGACACGGCCCAGACUCCUACGGGAGGCAGCAGUGGGGAAUAUUGGGCAAUGGGCGAAAGCCUGAUCCAGCAAUGCCGCGUGAGUGAUGAAGGCCUUAGGGUUGUAAAGCUCUUUUACCCGGGAUGAUAAUGACAGUACCGGGAGAAUAAGCUCCGGCUAACUCCGUGCCAGCAGCCGCCGUAA